GACGAACGCUGGCGGCGUGCUUAACACAUGCAAGUCGAACGGAAAGGCCCUGCUUUUGUGGGGUGCUCGAGUGGCGAACGGGUGAGUAACACGUGAGUAACCUGCCCUUGACUUUGGGAUAACUUCAGGAAACUGGGGCUAAUACCGGAUAGGAGCCCCUGCUGCAUGGUGGGGGUUGGAAAGUUUCGGCGGUUGGGGAUGGACUCGCGGCUUAUCAGCUUGUUGGUGGGGUAGCGGCUUACCAAGGCUUUGACGGGUAGCCGGCCUGAGAGGGUGACCGGCCACAUUGGGACUGAGAUACGGCCCAGACUCCUACGGGAGGCAGCAGUGGGGAAUAUUGCACAAUGGGCGGAAGCCUGAUGCAGCAACGCCGCGUGCGGGAUGACGGCCUUCGGGUUGUAAACCGCUUUCGCCUGUGACGAAGCGUGAGUGACGGUAAUGGGUAAAGAAGCACCGGCUAACUACGUG
This 468-nucleotide ribosomal RNA is filed under the name uncultured bacterium. Its description in RNAcentral is "partial 16S ribosomal RNA". It matches the Rfam family "Bacterial small subunit ribosomal RNA", at positions 28 to 507 of the family's 1533-position model. The record is from RNAcentral.